This 2180-nucleotide long non-coding RNA is filed under the name Vombatus ursinus (common wombat). Its description in RNAcentral is "lncRNA (ENSVURG00010002986.1)". The record is from RNAcentral. Lineage: Eukaryota; Metazoa; Chordata; Mammalia; Diprotodontia; Vombatidae.
UAGUGUUUUAUUAUAGUUGAUAUUGAAACUCAGAUGAUAUGUUGUUCAUCUUUUUUUCCUUCACAGCCACUGUCACUGAGAUUGACUCGUCUGAGAAUGACAAGACCUCAGAAGGGCUUAGUGCUGAGACGUUUCCUAAACUGGCUUAUACAGAACAAGCUGAAGCUGCAGCCCAAGAUGAGGUUGAAGGACUCGUCACCGAUGGUGAUGAGAUGGCCACAGAGCCAGAAAAUAGAGAUUGUUUGCCUGUGACUCUGGCAACAGACCCUAGGCUUUCUGCCAAAGACAUGAUUACUCCAAACUUACAAACUAUGGAUGCUGGUGAAACUGACAACUCCUCAAACCUGAAUGGAAAAUCUAGUACAUGGACUUGCAAGGAGAUCAUUGAGCUUGGAAUUCAUGCCAAAUCCAUCAAAUUUAAUUCCAGUAACACUCCUUCCGAAAGCUGUACUCAGAACUCAAGUGAUGCUGCUACGUUUGUUCCAGGUCCCAAGUUAGACUUUGAGGAAGACGCAGUGAUGAAUUCCAUGGCUUCAUCCGAAGGGAGCAAUUCAGAUUUCUAAACACUCCGAUCCUGGAAGUCACUGGAUUCCAUCUAAAGAUCUUUCUUCAGGACGCUGCUUCUUGCCUUUACGCCAGUUCAACCAUGUUAAAAUCAAACUCCCAAGAGAGGGGAUGCUUCUCCACCUGCACCUUGAGGACUUUCAGGGAGUUAUCUAGGUCCUUCUUUGUUACAAUGUGACGGGAUUUCCUGGCAAAGUGUUACUUCUGUUUCCUUUAAUAAUUUCAUUUAAGCUGUCUCUUGCUUGUUGCUUGUUUUAUUUUUCCUUUGACGUAUGCAAAGUGGUGAGGAAGCAUCCAAACUGACUUACAAACCGACUGGUAAACAUUUUAUUUUAGAAGGAAAGAAUUUGCUUCCAGCCUAUUUAAAACCCCUAAAUAACAUUCAUCCCUUUACUGUUAGACUCUCAAAGAUUCAGUAUUAGGAAAGAGCUUACUAGAUCUCUCAGAUGACCCAAGACUGCUCUCAGGAGCAUUGUCACGUUGUGUUUAAUGCAGACAUUUUGGUGGUUUCAUAGUUCUGCAUAUUGUAUUUUACCAUAAUUUAUAUACCUUUACUUUCAGGAAAAUAGUUUAAAUUGCAGUCUGUACACACACACACACACUCACUCACUCACUUACACACUCACACAUUCACACACUCUCUACUACAUUCUGAAAUAUGAGGCCUGGGGAAAUUUUUGUCCUAGUGUGGUUACAGUUUGUCAUGGUUUUUUAACUUUUUCCUUUCAGAUUGCAUAUUUAUGUCUUUACGGACAUGUAAGUGUUAUUUUCACAUAUGUAAAACAGUAUCAUGGCCAUUGCCUUGUGGCAUUGGCUUGCUGAUUCACAAUGGUCUUAGAGUAUCUUUUUUUUUCUUAUGUAUGUGCUAUAUUCGCUUACCUAUUAAAGGCUGCAGUAAGUGCUAUUUAACCAAAAUUUUCCUGCCUUUUUAUGGCAGGAAGGGAUGAAUCGCGUCCUUUGAAAUAGCUGCGAAGAAAUUCAUCAAUAGUCUUAAGCCCAUGUAAUACAUACACACAUGCAUAUAUUCACCACGACCAUCACCACCACCACCACACACACACACACACACACACACACACACACACACAUACACAUAAUGGAUAAGUGGUUUAUGAAAAUUGCUUCAUCAAAUCCUACUUAAACCAUUGCCUGAUACUUGAGUAUGAAUUAAUCAGCCUGCUAAUUAAUUUUUUAUUGUUGAAUCACCAGUUUUUUGAGGCAGAACUGUGUUCCUCUCUCAAACCCAUUCUGGAAUGAGGAGGAGGACUCUUAUCCUUCCUAGACCUUUGCCAUUCAGAGUUCAGAGGAAUUGUUGGAGGUGAGAACAGUGCCUUAGAUCAGACAGUUAUACUUUUGUAUGCUAGCUCUUUCAUUCUGGCAGAGACAAUCAUUGGAAGAAAAAAGAUGCAGGUUUUCUUUCUGCACAUAGGUUAUUUGUUGAAAAGCUGUGACAGCUGUAUGUAUAUAUGUUCACUCUAUUUUACAGAUGGACAUUCGUUAUUUUAACAGUUAACAUAGUUAUUCUGCAAGAAUAGUACCACUUCUUAACAAAGUUACAACCAAAUACGUCAGCAAGAUUCAAUAAAUUAGACUCAAAUUUCCUGGGUCUAUAAUUG